AUAACGGAGAGUUUGAUCCUGGCUCAGAACGAACGCUGGCGGCGCGUUUUAAGCAUGCAAGUCGAGCGGUAAGGUCCUUCGGGACCCUAG
This 90-nucleotide ribosomal RNA is filed under the name Bullifex porci. RNAcentral describes it as "Spirochaetales bacterium NM-380-WT-3C1 partial 16S ribosomal RNA". It matches the Rfam family "Bacterial small subunit ribosomal RNA", at positions 1 to 91 of the family's 1533-position model. Lineage: Bacteria; Pseudomonadati; Spirochaetota; Spirochaetia; Spirochaetales; Spirochaetaceae. The record is from RNAcentral.